Molecule: long non-coding RNA, 783 nt
Organism: Neltuma alba
Lineage: Eukaryota; Viridiplantae; Streptophyta; Magnoliopsida; Fabales; Fabaceae
Exons: 3
Source: RefSeq, a predicted model, not a curated record
UGGCUUAACUUCAUCACAGAGAGGGAGGAAAAAUACGGCCGAUCCCCCUAAGCCGCGAUUGACGGCCCGGAAUCGCGAAGAGGAGUUUGCUCUCAAGCUCGUAACGCGGACGCCAACAAGGGAAGGAUUUCUGGGUAAGUAAACUCCGAAGCCCUAAACCGCAGAGAGGAAGUCGGCCGAACAAUUUCUUGCAGGUGAGGAUCGAUUUCUGGUUCAGGCCGACCAAACGACUUCAUUUUAACCCCUUCCUUUUUGUCGUUGUUGUGUAUAUAUAACUUCUCACUUCGCUUUUCUCACAAUGAGAGUGAGAUAAGAUAGGGCUAGAGGGAUUAGGGAUACGACCAAACAAUAGGUGUUUUAUUGAAUUUUUUUCCCAAACAAUCAUCAUUUGUUAGCCGGAAAAGAUUGAAGAAGUCGCCGGAAACCAUGGUUGCUGGAGGCAGAGGAGGUUGUGGUUUCUCUACCUGAUGACCUUGUCCUCUGUAUCCUCACCAAACUCAGCUCUUGGCUGAGUGUUCAUCAGAUCUUGUAUCUUUCCGUGGUCAGAGGCUUGUAAAAAUUAGCAUCGUAACCUCAAGGGACCGUUACAAGAAUUAUACACGCACAUUGAUUGAAGACAGCUUGUGAAAUUCAAAUAUCCAUUACUAUCAUAUGGGGGCCACCUGGAUAAGGAAGAUUUCAUUAGUGUUCUGAUCAUGUGUAAGAGAUUUCAAGGUUUAAGCCUUCAAUCUCAAAGUUUUAUUGAAAGCUUCACCGAAAGCUGCGUCAAGGAUAUUUUCUAAG